CCAUCAGACUUCUCACUUCUUUGGUAAAAAGAAACAAAUCCACAAUGAUGGAGAGGUGUCUGUGCAAGAUCAUUUAUCUCCGAUGACGCCAACAGGAAAGACAGGAGAAUCAGCAUAUUUGGUGAAGGUCAAGGGAGCAAAAACUCUGCUGGUCUCUGCCUAUUUGGAGCAUCGCACAGCGGUAAAAGAAGUUCGUGUCAUUGUAAUCACGCCUCGGAGCGAGCAGGCGGUCUUUAACUGCCACCUAGACUGCCAAAGACAGCUCUACAUAUCUAA
Molecule: long non-coding RNA, 276 nt
Organism: Cyprinodon tularosa
Lineage: Eukaryota; Metazoa; Chordata; Actinopteri; Cyprinodontiformes; Cyprinodontidae
Exons: 3
Source: RefSeq, a predicted model, not a curated record